UUGAUCCUGCCGGCGGCCACUGCUAUCAGGUUUCGACUAAGCCAUGCGAGUCUAGGGGUCGUAAGACACCGGCAUACCGCUCAGUAACACGCGGACAAUCUAACCCCAGGUGGGGGAUAACCUCGGGAAACUGAGGCUAAUACCCCAUAGUCACUCUAUGCUGGAAUGCUUGAGUAAUGAAAACUACGGUGCCUGAGGAUGAGUCUGCGGCCCAUCAGGUAGUAUGUGGUGUAAAGGACCACAUAGCCUAGGACGGGUACGGGCCCUGAAAGGGGGAGCCCGGAGAUGGACUCUGAGACACUAGUCCAGGCCCUACGGGGCGCAGCAGGCGCGAAAACUGUGCAAUGCGCGAAAGCGCGACACGGGAAACCUGAGUGCCUUGACAUUUGUCAAGGCUUUUCUUAAGCCUAAAAAGCUUAAGGAAUAAGAGCUGGGUAAGACGGGUGCCAGCCGCCGCGGUAACACCCGCAGCUCGAGUGGUGGUCACUUUUAUUGAGCCUAAAGCGUUCGUAGCCGGCUUCGUAAAUCCCCAGACAAAUUCUUCUGCUCAACAGAAGAUCCUCUGGAGAGACUGCGGAGCUAGGGACCGGGUGAGGUUGAAGGUACUUCUGGGGUAGGGGUAAAAUCCUGUAAUCCUGGAAGGACGACCGGUGGCGAAAGGCGUUCAACUAGAACGGAUCCGACGGUGAGGAACGAAAGGCUAGGGGAGCAAACCGGAUUAGAUACCCGGGUAGUCCUA
RNAcentral lists this ribosomal RNA (739 nucleotides) under uncultured Thermoplasmatales archaeon. RNAcentral's name for it is "bacterial SSU rRNA". It matches the Rfam family "Archaeal small subunit ribosomal RNA", at positions 8 to 749 of the family's 1478-position model. The record is from RNAcentral. Lineage: Archaea; Methanobacteriati; Thermoplasmatota; Thermoplasmata; Thermoplasmatales.